This 713-nucleotide ribosomal RNA is filed under the name bacterium enrichment culture clone SC-2_73. RNAcentral describes it as "bacterial SSU rRNA". It matches the Rfam family "Bacterial small subunit ribosomal RNA", at positions 1 to 717 of the family's 1533-position model. The record is from RNAcentral.
UAGAGUUUGAUCCUGGCUCAGAUUGAACGCUGGCGGCAUGCCUUACACAUGCAAGUCGAACGGUAACGGGCCUUCGGGUGCCGACGAGUGGCGAACGGGUGAGUAAUGCAUCGGAACGUGCCCAGUGGUGGGGGAUAGCCCGGCGAAAGCCGGAUUAAUACCGCAUACGACCUACGGGUGAAAGCGGGGGACCUUCGGGCCUCGCGCCAUUGGAGCGGCCGAUGUCAGAUUAGGUAGUUGGUGGGGUAAAGGCCUACCAAGCCGACGAUCUGUAGCUGGUCUGAGAGGACGACCAGCCACACUGGGACUGAGACACGGCCCAGACUCCUACGGGAGGCAGCAGUGGGGAAUUUUGGACAAUGGGCGCAAGCCUGAUCCAGCCAUGCCGCGUGCGGGAACAAGGCCUUCGGGUUGUAAACCGCUUUUGUCAGGGAAGAAAUCCUGCGGGCCAAUACCCUGCGGGGAUGACGGUACCUGAAGAAUAAGCACCGGCUAACUACGUGCCAGCAGCCGCGGUAAUACGUAGGGUGCAAGCGUUAAUCGGAAUUACUGGGCGUAAAGCGUGCGCAGGCGGUUGUGCAAGACAGAUGUGAAAUCCCCGGGCUCAACCUGGGAACUGCAUUUGUGACUGCACGGCUGGAGUGCGGCAGAGGGGGAUGGAAUUCCGCGUGUAGCAGUGAAAUGCGUAGAUAUGCGGAGGAACACCGAUGGCG